Molecule: long non-coding RNA, 1232 nt
Organism: Carya illinoinensis
Lineage: Eukaryota; Viridiplantae; Streptophyta; Magnoliopsida; Fagales; Juglandaceae
Exons: 2
Source: RefSeq, a predicted model, not a curated record
UGAAACCCAAUUUCGUGCUGCAACGUACAAUCAAAACUUGAACCAUUUUGCAGGGCAGUGUACAGUUUGCUCUGUCAUAGAGGCUGCAGGCAGCUGUCUCUCCUACUUGCUCAGAAGCAAAAUUAGAGAACAGCAACUGUAGUAGAGUAGAUUAAAGCCACCCUUUUUGCAGCAGCAGCAGAGCCCGAGACUACAUCUCUCUCUCUCUGUAUAUAUAUAUUAUAUAUACACACACGGCUUUGACAGCUUUGUUAUUGGUGGUGUUGGGACCACACCAAUAAUGCCCACAAACAAAAACAAAAUGCAUUAUGCUGCAUCAGACUCCCCUAUAUAUCUGGGCUCACCCUAUAUACAUACAUUCUCAAUCUGCUGCCAACCCACCACCUAUAUUAAUACUGCCCCAAUACCAUGAAAACCCUAGGCUAGCAUUAUUUUCUAUGGUUUUGCCUUCUGCAAUGGCUUCCAAUCGAUGAAAGGAAAGGCAGAAACCUUUUUCACAUGCUUAAAUGCUCUCUCUCUCUCUCUCUCUCUCUCUCUCUCUCUCUCUCUCUCAUAAAAUACUAAAUUAAGUGCCUUGAUCUAUAUUUCGGGCAUUAUUUCGGGCAUUUAAAGAGAACCUCCUCCCUCCUGCGCCUAGAGUACUGCCAAAUAACACAGUUCUGGGGUUGCCCCCCAAAACAAAAGGAGCCACCAAAGAUCGAGAAAUACGUAAAUGGAGAAAGCUGGAAUAGCUAUAUAUAUAUUUGGCUGGUGUGUGAGGCAAAGGCAUGAUUUUGAGCUUGGAUAACGACCGAGCUGCAUGGGAGUCUGGACGGACACUGAUAUAUAAUGGCUGGCAUUGGAGAUUGCAUGUUGGGUUGCAGGCUCUUCGCAAAAGAAUCCAAAGUAUCCGUACCCAAGUAGACUCGUGACAUCGAGUGCAUGAACCAUUUCGAAGAAAACAAGUCACAUGGAAGAUCAACUAGGGGCAGACAGACUUGCAUGCAAGGAAUUAAUGGGUGCUAGAGGAUAUAGCUUCUAGUAACAGUCAAAUAUACAGGUAAUUCCUCUCUGUCAAUCAUUUGAUUUGUUCUUGUACGUACAAAGAUUCUCAUAUAACAAAUUGCUGUAUGCUUAUAUAGAUAGAAAAAUGGAAGAAACAUAUUACCAACCAGGAAGGAUGUACCAAAAUAAAUUCAAGGUUCUUUAUGAUGGUCAUGUUACUUUAAAUGGAUCAAUACCGCAAUUAUGCA